AGAAAGGCAACACAAGAGUUAUUCUGUUUGACAAACAUAACAAACACAAUAAGCUGAAUAUAAAACUUAUUUUUUGUGAGUAGAAUCAAUACUUGGAAAUGUCUUUGCGAAGGACGAGUAAGUAAAAUGUGAGUAAGGAAACGAUCAGAAUGAGGAGUGUGACACUUGAGAAUGUAAUUGAGUGAUGAUGUAUCGGCAUGUUGUGAGGUAAAAUGGUAGAAUCAAUGUAUAUCUCCAUUCUCCUAUCAAAUGAUUGUUGUGUCAUUGUCCACUUAACAGAGUAUGUGAAGCCAACAUCAACUUCCUUGUCUUCUGUAACGUCUGUAAAUGAAUUUGCCAUUUGUAGAAUGACCUUAAUAACUUGAUCCUUAUUGUAAAAAACCUCGAAAUCAAAAUGUUUGUAAAGGGAAUACACUGUCUUGAUCCUUCCAUUAUAAUUUCCGUCAUUUCUCAUUCCUAUAAAUGCCCAUAUUGGCAAGUCAUCAUAGUGCAAUUGCAUAAAGUAGUUCUUCUCUAUCGCCCUUCUGAAAUUAGAAACAUCUAUUUUACUCAGUGUCUUAUUGCAUAAUACUUCAAAAUCUUUAUCCACAAGGAAUUCAAGCUUAUAUGGAGUUGAAACAAGACGAUCUCCAUUCAACAUUUCUCCUAAAUUAAGCUUUUUCUCUUUAACAACAUCUGUUAUUAGAUAAACAAUAUGGAAGGAUUGAGUAAGUAUAAAUGGAGAAGUUAAAAUGACUGAAAGAGAACAAAAGAAAGACCCAACACAUUCAUGAAAGAAUUAAGUACCUUGAGAACAAAAUGGAAGUUCAUAAUAAGCAUAUGUUUCUCUGAAAACAAAGUAAACAAGAAUAAGAAGGAACACACACAAAAAUAAAUAGAAAGGAAAAAUACUUUGGAGGAAAUGUGUCUAACCUAGAAUUAAAGUAUGGCCCAAUUUUGUUGGCAUAGAAGGGGACUGUAUCACCUUUACUGUAGCGAUGAUCAUUGGCAUCUGAUUCUACUUGGAUUCCAAGGUAGAUCAGUAGAAGCAUAAGAAAAGGGUAUUUUCGUAACUUUACCAUUCCUGUUGAUCUAUAAAUAAAAGUGAAAAAACAUGAGCAACUGUCAUACCAAAAAGCAGACAUAUCAUAACGAAAGCAUCUUGCAGGUAAAUACAAAACUGGUUCUCAUGAAGCCAUUUAAGUUGCACAAGUAUACCAUAUUGUUUUACAUCAAAACAUUACAAGAAUCUUUGUAGAUUUUGGAAAAGUUGAUGAUUUGACUAAAAAGAAUUUUGGGUUUUGUAUGUUAUAGAAUAUUUUGGUUGCCUAGUUUCUCAUUGUUCCAUAAACAAAUAAACAAAUUGCUCAAUCUGCUAUGCGUCACACAAUUAGGCGUUUAACUAUACUUCUUUCAAAGCAAUGGAGUACAGGAUAAAUGAAUGUCAUUGUUGCGAAGGAAACAAAAGCCAAGUUAUAAGGUGAAUCCUAGUAUUAAGAUAUGAACAAUCAAACAUAAGUAUUAUCCAAAAAAAAAAAAAACAAUUCAGUUGUAAUUUACUGGAGAGCUAACAGAGACAACAUAAUCAAACAUCAAACUAUAAUUGUCAAGUAAAUACCAAGAACGUGAGAUGAUCAGUGAUGGAGAAAGAGAGGUGUUUUUACAGUGAAGGAGAAGGAUGCGGUGAUGGAAAAGGUCUUAACUGGUUGCAAACCAGAAGUAUUGUUGGGGAUGGUGAGAGGACUUUGACUUUGAGUCUUCCACUCUCAUCAACCGACUGUUAAGUUCACUUGUCUCAUAUGUUGGUCGUUAUUUGUUCAAUAAUUUUGAGGAAGUUACAACUUAGAAAUGUUCUUUUUUUUUUCUUUUUUUUUUAAUAUUUUGAGUAAAUUACACGAAUGGUCCCUAUGGUUUGGCAUAACUUACAUGUUUGGCCUCUAACUUAUUUUUUAUCUUGGAAGAUCCAUAAUAUUUGUUUUUUCUUUCGUGUUUGGUCCUGAGCUAAAAAGACUAUUGUGCCACUUGAUUUAUAGGCAAAAAAUAGUUUUUCAAAAAGCCAUGAAUUCUUGAAUUUUCCAAAAAGCCAAUAAGCACUUUGAGAACCAAUUCCAAACACUCACUCAAGACCCGAAAACAAGUUAUGUCUAAGUAUCUGCUGCUAAUUUGUACAACCUAGAUCUGAACAAGAGCCUUAGUGUCGCUGUCAUCGUUAUUGUAACAACACCAGAUCCGCCGUCGGAGAAAACAUACAAGGUUUGUCACCCACCUGUUCGCCGUUGAAGUAAACCACUAGAGCAAGAAAAGGAGAAAGAAGGGGGNNNNNNNNNNNNNNNNNNNNNNNNNNNNNNNNNNNNNNNNNNNNNGGGGGGAGCCUUGAAGAAUCGAUAUGAGAUCUAGGUUUUAGUUGUUCAUUGUUUCGUUGAUGAGGCUGUUGUGUGCUAGCAAUGUUUCGAAGCAGGAAAUCCAAGAAUUUAGGGAUGGAUUUAUGGUUAUGAUUUUUAGUCUAGUUUCGAUAUUUUUAUUACAAUAUGAUUGGAUAGUAUGAUUAAAUUGAAUGUCAAGUGUGAAUGAAUUGAUUUUAGAUUUGAUUUCCUUUUUGAUUUAAUUUUCCAUGGUUGUCUCCUCCGUUGCCGGUUGACGAGCUUUUCAUUAUUAUUUUCAUUUGAAAACCCAAAAACAAUAUCUGUCCAGGUAUAUGAUGUUGAUUUAUGCAACCUAGAUUUGAUUUUGGUUCUAAUUUUAGAUUUGAUUUGCAUUUGGGAUAUGAUUUAUGGUUUUGAUUUUAGAUUUAACUUUUGGUUUGAAUGGAUUCAAUGUGGUUUUUAUUUUUCCCGAUGUGAGAGAUAGUGGUUAUUUGCUUCGAUAGUAUAGGUGAUGGUGGUGUAGAUGUUGGUAGUUUCUUCUGGUGGCAUUUUACUCCGUCAAGAGAAGAAACUGGGUGAAAGACUAGAAGGUAUAAAGGGACGAUGUUAAUUUUCUAGAUUAAUCAUAAAUUUAUAAUAAUAAAUUAUAAAUGAAAUACAUAAAUAAUAAAAUUAAUUAAAAGUCAGUUAAUAAGAGACCAAUAGUCUUUUUAGGUUAGACAAUGACAAACCUACAACAAAAACAAACAAUAGAGACCUUCUGAGUUAAAAAAAAUAGUUAAGGACUAAAUGCAUAAGUUACCCCAAACCAUAGACCAUUCGUGUAAUUUACUCUAAUAUUUUUAAAGGAAAGCCCUAGAAAAAACCUACCUAUUAUCAUUCCAUGCUAAAAACAACCAUUAUUUUAUUUUUUUUGUACAAUAAAACCAUUUUAUUUGUUCAUCAUGCUUAAAAUAAUGAUUGGUAAUUGUGACAUCCCCAAAUUUCUCGGCCAAGAAAGGAUGUUUUAGUUAUACUUAUUUUAAAACAUAGUUUAUUUAUAAAUGUGGAAUUUGUACGAUAAAAGUACAUACGAAUAAAUGUUUUUCAUUGACUGAUUAAAGCUUGGGAUGUCAUAACUAAUACAAGAAACAUAAGAAUAAACGUAAUCAUUACAGGCCUUACACAUUUAAUGGUUUAUAUUUCCUUUAAUCUCUCAUCAGAUCCGAACAUCAAGUACCUUCGUAUCGAUAUAUGUGAUGCAAAGAAACUGAGUGGGUUAGGUUGGAAAACCAGGUAAGUACCACUAGUACAAAAAUGACAUAUGGCCAGGCUUUUUGGAAAUAGGGUUGUCACGAAUUUUGUUAAUUGCAUCACUAAAGGUCAUUAAUCAAAUUCCCAUAAUGUUUUCGUUACAUAUCAACUAAACAUCGUCACUAUUGCAAACUAUUUUCACACAUUUUAUCAUUAUUUUACAUAAAAAGUUUGACAAAUACUUGUCAAUAGUCACAUUAUAUUAUUGUGACUGUAAGUAUUUUAUUAUGACAUUUAAAAAAACAUGUGAUUGUAAGUGUUUUAUGAUAACAGUUAAAUUUCAUAUGUACGUCUAAAAUUAAUGAUUUUGAAUAUAUAAAAAAAUAACAAGUGACCGGAAGUAUUUUAUUAUGAUAUUUAAAAAAACAAAACAUGUAAGUAAAAGUAUUUUAUAGUCACAUUUUAAUUUUUAUGUGUCUAAGUCCAUAACUAUAAUUUGUAUGUACUUGAACUAAUAACAACACAGUCCUUUUGGGUUGCCCUCAAACCUAGCAACUAGACAAUGAAAUUAUGAAAGGAGAGAGAUUAAUUUAUUAUAAGAUUAAUAAAUUAAUAUAAAUGAUUUAUUAAUAUGUUAUGAGAUUAAUAUAUUAAUUUGAAAUCAUAAUGUUUGACUAAUAGUUAGCAAAAAAUUAAUUGGAAUUGAUUUUGGGGUUAAUUGUAUUAAUUAUAAAGUACAUGGACUAGUUUGCAAUUAUCAAAUAGUUGGAUGGAAGGUUCCAUAACCUCCUUGGAGGAGGUAGACAAAAUCAAUAGGGGAAACCCUAAUGAUUUCGUCCAAGUGCCUUGGUUUGCUUCUGGAUAAGCUUGGGCCCUAAGCAAAGGAACAUUAGGGUUUUCCCUUAAACCCUAGCUGCCUCAGCUAUAUAAGGAGCCUCAUGGCUCCUGAAUUUCGAUCAUCCCUACACCUGGAGAGACCCUAGCCAAAAAUUGCAUACUCUCUCCUCAUCCUCUCUCUAUAUAGUUUCCUUCUUGCUAGUUCUUGGGUAUGAUUCCAUUAGAGGCAUUAUAGUUGUGGUGUUAAGCUUCCAAGAAGACCAAGAUCAAGGAUUACCAAUUGUUUGCUAUAUCAAUUGAAAGGCAUGUGAUUCUAAAACCCUAAUUAGUUAUUUUUGAAAAUAGCCUCCUCUCAUAGGGUUCUAGUUUUGCAAUUCAAAGUUAUAUGUUCAAUAGUUAAAACAUAGAUCCAAAGUAGGUUACAUGUGAACUUAGGAAUUGUUUUUCUAGUUUAUUUGCUUUACUUAAAACUCAUCAAAGGUAUCAGAGCCAUUGGUUUUGUUUUAAAUUGAAUUGCUAUAAUAGUUGAAUUGCAACUUAAGGUUUAUAGCUAUUAAACCCUAAAGGCCAUGUAACACCCGUUUAUUUAUUAAGUUAAAUAAAUUAAUUAAUGAACGAAUGAUAGCCUAAAAUCAAUAAUUAUAUAGAAAGGUGUAAGUUUCGGGAUUUACUUUAUAAAGAUUUUUAGAAGACAGGGGUUUUUUGGUAUAAUUUGGGCAUAAUAUGAAAGGAUUUAUGGAAGAAGGGGCUAAAUAGUAAAUUUUGGACUCCAUUGGAGAACAAUUUUUAGAGGAGGGGCUAUUUGGUAAUGGUUGGACCUAAUAUGUGAGAAAUUAUAGAAGUCGGGGUUUAAAGGGUAAAUAUGGGAGUAAAUUUGAAAUUGUUCCUAAAGGGAGGGACCAUUAAUGCCAUUAUGGAAUAACGUUUGUGAGGGGUGUCGGGUAUAAGAAUGUCCCAUAACCCUAACCCUAGAAGUUGGAUAGAGUCGCCACCUUCCCUCUUUCAUCACUUUCGGUAGCCGCCGCUCUCACCCCUUCAAUCUCCGGCACCGCACCACCACCUCCAUUGAGGUCACUAGUCACCGAGUGCCGCCACAACGCUGUUGUCGAAAGUANNNNNNNNNUGUCGGAAGUUUUGAGCCGCCGAGAUCGAACCUCCAAACUGUGAUUGGAGUCCGCUGCCACUACUCUCCCUUCUCGCCAUCGUUGGUGUCAAAUCUGCCCGCCACUCCACCACUUGCAUCCUCCGACCGACGAUGUUAAGCAUGGAUGAGGAAGCCUCUAAGGCUUGGAUGGCAACAACCGGUUGCUGAUAUCGUUUAUCGCUACCCUAUCUUCUUCUACUCCCAACUCUUGACGCUGGCGUUGUGUGGAGCCGACAAACCACCGAAAUCGCCACUGCGAGCCUCCGCUGCCAGCGUGAAGGAAUCACCAUUGACCAAUGACUUGUUAAGCGGGACUGUUGAGAGGCACCGCCAAGAUCAAGAGGAGGCACUGCCAAACCCUAGCUGCCGCCAUAUCUCCCGACUUCCGUGCGCCAUGAUCGCCGCCAUGUUGCUACUGCUGUAGAACCUCCGUGUGCCACUGUGAGGUGUGUGGUUAUGUGCAUUCCCGAGCAAGAGUGUGUUGUGUGUUUUGAUGGCCGGAAAAUGGUGAAGAAAACCACCAUGGCUGCUAGCCAUGGUGGCUGCCGCCAUGUACCACCACCGACCACCACAAGGGUGGUUGUGGGUGUGUGUUAUUUUUAGUAUAGUGUGUGUGUGUUAUUAUGUGAGUUCAUUACAAUUGUAAAAAUUGGAAUAAUGAAAUGGAACUCAAACCACCACCGUAGGGUGGUGGCUGCCGCCUCCUACCCCACCAGCCGNGCCACCGGCCGCCCUGUCGGAUAGCGGUGUGCUUAGUUGUGUUGGGAUUGCUAGUUUGGGGAUGUUUGGUCAAGGGACUAAAACCUUAAUGGGCCCAAUGAGGCUUAAUGGACAUAAAAGCCCAAGCAUGUGUCUAAUGGGCUUAAUGGACCAUAAUGGAUCCAAGGACUUAGCUAAUGGGCCUAUUGGGCUAAGAUGGGUUGGAAACCCUAAUGCCAUGAAACCCUAAUUUUUGGGGAAAUAAUCGAAACACACGGGAAUUAUUAAUAACUUGGAAUAAUAAAUAAUAAUCAUUGGCAAGAUUAAUCUAAGCGAUAGUGGACUUAAUGGAUUAAGUCCUUAGAGGAUUAAGUCCUUAAUGGGUUAAGUAGGAAACUUAACCCUAAUCGUCACUUUAUGUGAAACCCUGAUUUCAGUUGGGUUUAUUAUUGUUUUUUGAUGAUCGGGUUAUUAAUGGGCCAUCCAGAGUCAAGAAAAUGGACUAGAAUAAUUUAAUGGGCCUAAGGUAAGUCCCAUGUAAGGGGUUAGGCCCAAUUUGGAAAAUUGGGCCAUAGAUGGGCCAUAGUUGGGCCUUAAUGAUUGUAUAAUGUUGGGUCUUAGAAUAAGACCAUGUAUAGGCCUGGGCACAAUUUGGAAAAUUGGGCCAUAUGUUGGGCUUUGAUUCCUAGUUGGAUUUGGGCCAAUGGAUUGGGCCUUGGGCUUAAAUAAGCCAAGCCUGGGGUAAUGUAGCAAUUAUCCAAGUACGUAUUAUGGUUAUGAGUUGGGAUCCAAUUAUUAAUUGGGUGUUGUUUUGGCGUGUUGACAAUUCAGGAAUCUGUCAUCCAGUAGCUGGGGUUGAGUCUGCGAGACUUCAGCAGUGUGGGGUUGAGUCUAAGGGACUUCAGCAGUGCGAGGUGAGUUACCUUCCAGUAGUGGUGGGGCUACGGCCACAAUGCCGGCCCACCAGUAGGAGUUGUAUGUUAGAUGAUUGUCUUUGUGAUAUCAUCUAGGCUUGCUACUACCUGAUAUGUUAUAUGCUGGCAUGAUAUGUUGUAUGUGAUAGUAGUAGAGUUCGGUUGUUAGGACCGAAGGGUAGUUCAGGCACCCAAGAUAUGUCUGACAGUAUGUGAUGAUAUGUUUGUAUGUUGGCAUGAUAUGUUAUAUGUGAUAGUGGUAGUAGGAGGGGAAUAGUCCCCAAGUUCGGUUGCUAGGACCGCAGGAUAGUUCGGACACCCCAGAUAUGUCUGAUAGUAUGUUUAUGUUAUGAUAUAUGUGAUAGUAGCAGUAGGGGUGAAAUAGUCCCUGAGGGUUGAUUGUUAGGACCGACGCGUAGGUCAGCACCCUAGAAUGGCUUGACAUGGGUAGGUCAGCACCUUAGAAUGGCUUGACACGGGUAGGUCGGCACCCCAGAAUGGGCGCACCGGGUAGGUCGGCACCCCAGAAUGGCCGUACCGGGAGACGGACACCCCAGAAUUGUCCGACAGUAUGUAUGCUAUGUGAUUGUAUGGUAUGUGGUAUGAUGGGGGAACUCACUAAGCUUUGUGAUUACGGUUUUCAGUUUUGGUUUCAGGUACUUCGUUUUCAAAGGAAAGGAGCCGGCUCGAUCGCAGCGCAUCACACUAUGUUUCCGCACAUGAGAUCCUUGGGGAUUACGCUCUGAUAUGUUUUUAUGAUCCUAUGUUUUGGAUUACUGUCGCUUGGGUUUUAACAUGAGACUUUAUUAUGAAUGUUUUUAUACUGAUGGUUUUAUGUAAUAACAUAAAUAAAAAUGAAAUUUUUGCCUGUAUUUUUGGGAUGUUACAGGCCAUGUUUUUCAUUUUUAGGGUUUUGGUUUUAGGGGUUUUCGAAAAACCCUAGCCUCCAUAAACCCUAAUCGAAAUUAGGGUUAGGGUUUUAAAAAAUCCUAGCCACCUUCCUUAAAUUUCGAAAUUGCCUUAGGUUUUUAGGGUUUCUUGUUUGAAUAGUUGUUACAUAAUUGGAUUAAUUGGAUAAUUAUCCUAUACCCUAAAUUUUUGAAAUUGAGAGGGUUUAGGAUUAUGAUUAAAUUAAUUGUUUAUUUUACUUAGAUAAUCUUCCCAAUAUUUAAUAAAUUAAAAGUUAAUAGAUAAUUAUUAAAUCUAGUUUUUGGUUUAUUUUGAAUUUGAAAUUAAUAGUCUAAUUUUCGAAAAUUCAUUUAAACCUUAAAGUUUUAAAAAGUUUAAAACNNNNNNNNNAUAUAUAUAUAUAUAUAUAUAUAUUUAUAUAUAUUAUAAUUAAAAAUUAAAUAUUAUAUAUGUAUAAGAACUGGUCAGUAGAAUCGCUAGUAUGCCUCAUUCACGAAGCUAGUCUAUAAGGGGGUAUAACGAAACUUCCUAUAAAAUGGUAGUUGAAUGGGUGUCCACUCUCACCCACCGCUUCCUUGAUUAGUGGAGGGUCGUUAGCAGAACGGAUUUGAUAGGACAAGUUAAUCUCAUUAAAAGUAUAAUGUUAUUGGUUAAGUACUAGAACAUCAUUUUAUUACUUUAGGAAAAAUGUGAAUAGUAUGUUAACCCAAGAAAUCGCACUUGUAUAAGUCCUUAGUGGUGCGUGUGUGGUUAGCCGACACACUAAUUAGGACUAAUAAAGACUCGUAAUGGGUAUCUCAUGAUUAUCAUGGGGAGUCGGUUGUCAGUCAUGUGCAAAGAAUGCAACGCUACAUAGAGCGUUUGGUCAAGCUCAACGUACACUUUGAUGAGGAAUUGGCCAUUGACAUGGUCUUGAACUUAUUACUUGAUUGUUAUGGUUAGUUCAUCCUAACUUACCAUUUGAACAACAUCGAGCAAACAUUGGCCCAAUUACACAAUCUGUUGCAAACAGUUGAGGUAGGAAUGAAGGGUAAAAGUAUAGCCUCCACUCCUACUAGUUCUUGCAUCUUGGCUAUUGGACAGGGAAAGGGUAAAAAGAGGAACGGUCCUCCUAAGCAAAACUGGAAGGGCAAGGCCCAAGUUGGGUCAUUUAGCAGUGGCCUAAUGGCCAAGCCCAAUGUUGUCAUUCCCCAUGAUUCUGAUCCAAAGGAUGCCGAUUGCUUUUAUUGCAAUGACAAGGGGCACUAGAAAUGAAGGUGCCCGAAGUAUCUACAGGACAUUAAAGAUGGCAAGGUGAAGCCAUCUUUAGCAGGUAUUUACACUAUUUCUUUUAAUAACUCAUUAUCUUCUCGUUCUUAGGUCCUUGAUACCAGAUGUGGUUUUCACAUAUAUUCUAAUUUGCAUGGGAUAAAAGAAAGUGAGGAGGUGGAGCGAGGGAGGAUAAACUUGAUCAUGGGAAACAAAAAGUCCACACUAGUAACCAAGAUCGGAAUUCAUCAACUUUUGCUUAAUAAUGAUGUUAGAUUAGAUUUGUUGAAUUGUUGCUAUUCAUAUGAGAUGAAGAGAAACGUUAUUUCAUUUCAUGCAUUGUUAAAACACGGUUUUAAGUAUUCUUUUAACUAUUUGAAUGGUUUAAUUUUUGUUUAUAAGAAUGGCAUUUUUGUGUUUGAAGCUUUACCUUGUGAUAGUGUGUAUGAAACAGUGACUUGUGUUCAUAGCUUAGGUAAUAGUGUGUUUAAUAUUGACUUGUCUAAUAGUGUAGACAAGGCAUGCUUGUGGCGUUGCCGUCUUGGACACAUUAGCAAGAAACGCAUAGCACAACCCCAAAAGGAUGGAGUGUUGGAAUCAUUUGACCUAAAAUCAGAUGAUAUGUGUGAAUCUUGUCUUUUGGGAAAGAUGAAUAAAUCACCUUUCACGGGAUCUCGUGAAAGAUAUGAAGGUGUUGGAUUAGGUGUCUAAGCCCAUAACUAUAAUUGGUAUGUACUUAACCCGAGAGUAGCAUGGUCCAUUUGGGUUGCCUUCACUAGAGCAAUUUGAUAGGAUGGACUUUUGAGAAGAGAUUAUUUGUGAUUUAUUUAUAUAUUAUAAGUUCUAAUAUAUUAAUAUGAAAUUAUAUUAUUUAAUUAGUAUUGAUCAAGAAUGUAUUUGGAAUUAAUUUAGUGAUCAAAAGAGACUAAUUAAAUUUACGGGGACUGAUUAAGCAAAUCAAUGAUUAUUAUAGUGUGGGCCAAUGAUCCAUGGUUAUUUAGGAUGGGCUAAACCAAUAUGGAUAGUCCAUGGAGGUUUAACCCCUGGAGCCUACGUAAUAUUAAGGGUCAUGUGAAUUAGGGUUUGUAUGGAUGUAACCCUAGAUGUUACCACACUAUAAAAGGAACCUAUAGUCACCAAAAUGGGCUCUAUGCAUUCUAAGAAGAGUGAUAAAAGAUUUUGUGUGCUAAGUAGCCUCUCAUUCAAGUUCUCCUUUGUUCAUGGUGUUUGUGAACCAUUUGAGGCAUCACAUUUAAGGUGCUAAGUUCUUAAAAGCCAAAACUACAAGCUACAACAAAGAGGCAAUUCUAUAACUCACUUUUAUAUUGUUUAUGUCAAUUGUAUGGUAGUUGUAGGCUUAAUGCUUUGGAAACAAUAUUGCAUGUAUAAUUAGAGAAAACAUGGAUCCAAAGCAUUUAGGGUUGUAUGUGCACCAUACGAUGUUGUAGUAUACAAAACCCAACAGUGGUAUCAGAGCAUAUGAUUGUUUUCUGUUAUAUUUGAUGCAUGACUUAUUUUUUCCAAAGCUAAAAAACUGUUCUGACAGCACCUACUUGACGAGUACAUUCUUGGACUCAACGAGUAGGACAAAUUUUUCCUUGAACUCGAUGAGUCCAUAGUUGGGCUCGACGGGUUGGAUGACCAGACAACAUUUUUUCGGGAUUUUUGGACUGUUUUGGAUUAGGAUCAUUACCACAAAAUGUUUUAGUUCAUAAAAUUUGAUUUUGUUGGUAUGGUAAUGAUUAUACUCAUCUAAUCAAAAGAUAAUUUUCAAAAUUUCAAGAUUUGUAUUAGUUUAUUUAGUAGGAUAAUUUCUAGUAAAUUGUUGAUUUGAAUUGUCUUGACUUAUGAGUUUAACUAGAUCAAAGAUAAAUUAUAUGAUAAUUUCUAUUUGUUAAAAUAUUGAUCUAAAUAUUCUUUAAAGUCCUCAAUAACUUUUCCUCAAGUUAUGGAACAUGAAAAGUUUUUUCAUAAAAACCACAUUAAACUUAUAGGAAAUCAAAGGUUUUUCAAGAGUUACAAACUUGCCCUCAAGUUUUGGUAUUUGAUAAGUCUCAAAUUAAGAAACUCUUGUAAUUAAAAAGGUGUAACUCUUGGGUUAAAAAAUUUAAAAAAUUAAUUAAAUAGGUUUUGAUUUUGAAUUUUUUAUAUUUAGAACCUUGAAGUAAUUGAGUAGUUCAAAUUGCACCUUAUGGACUUUAUAAAAUUUGUAACAUCCCAAAAAUACAAGCCAAAAAUUUCGUUUUUAACUCAUUAAUAAAACCAUAAUUAUCUUUCAACAUAUAAAAAUCAUAAACGAUGUAUCUCAAGAAUAACAUAACAUCUGUCAAAUUUAUCAGAGUAUAAACAUCCCAGGCUGAACAAAUGGUGUGUGUACUGCAAACUUCCUGAGCUCCUCUUUUGAAAACUGAGUACCUGAAACUAAAACUGAAAACUGUAAGCACGAAGCUUAGGGAGUCUCUCCAAACUACCACAUACCAUACACAUAAUCACAUAACUUGGGCCUAGCCCACUGCAUCGGGCCCUGCCCGCCAUCGGACCGUAAACCGGUACACAUAUAAACAUAUCCACAAUGCAUAUAACAUAAACACAUAACAUAAAUAUAACUCUGGGACUACUCCCAACUGCAUCGGGACGAAUCCCGACAUCGGAUUACCCGACAUUGGACUCCUAUCCGGCAUCGGGCUCACCCCGGCAUCCGACCGCAUUGGGCAUCGGGCUCACCCCGACAUCGGGCUUACCCCGACAUCAGGCUUACCCCGACACAUACACAACACAUCAUAUAUAAAUAACAUAAUCACAUAAUCUUUAUCGGGCUUGCCCUAGCAUCGGACCAAAGCCCGGAACAUAUAACAUAUAAACUAGCAUACAUCGGGCUUGCCCCGAAACACAUAACACAUAGCAUAAUAACUAACAUACAUCGGGCUUGCCUGACAUCAGGCUUACCCCGGAACACAUAACACACAACAUGUAAAUUAACAUACAUUGGGCUUGCCUCGGCAUCAGACCGAAGUCUGGAACACAUAGCACAUAUCAUAUAACCUCAAUGAAUCACAAAGACAUCACACAUACUUAACUACUUCUCGGGACCGCCCCGACGUCGAACUGAAGUUCGGAAACAUAUAAACUGCAUCGGGCUUACCCCAACAUACUACAAUACUUAAACGGGUCGACAUUGUGGCCCUAGACCCGUUCCUACUGGAAGAGGACUCACUUCACACUGCUGAAGUCCCGCAGACCAAACCAUAGCUGCUGGAUGAGAGAUUCCCGGGUCUGUCAAUAUCAAAAUAACACCCAAUUAAUAAUUGGGUUCCAACUCAUAACCAUAAGUCCAUGCUUGGGGUAAAAGACUACUUUACCCCUAUCUUAUCUUGACUCAAGCCCAAAGCCCAAUCCAAAGGCCCAAAAGUCUAAUAAUGGACCAAGGCCCAACUAUGGCCCAUCAAUGGCCCAAUUUUCCCAAUUGGGCCCAAGUCUCUACAUGGUCUUGAUCAAAGGCCGAAUCAGUCAUUCUUGGUCCAACGCUUGAGAUUCUCAUAGUCCAACAUCUCAUAAUGAUCAAGGCCCAGACUAUGGCCCAUCUAUGGCCUAAUUUUCCAAAUUGGGCCCAAACUCCUUACGUUGGCCUUACGCUAAGGCCCAAACUCCUUAAAGUAUUCUAGUCCAUUUGCUUGCUUUUGGAUGGUCCAUUUUUAUCCCAAUCACCAAGGCCCAAUAGGAAGGCCCAACGCAAAGUCCAAGUGAAAUUAGGGUUUCACAUAAAAUGGCAAUUACGGGUAAGUAUUUCUCACUUAACCCAUUAAGGACUUAAUCCAUUAAGUCCUUUACUCUACUAGAUAAGCGAUAUGUGAUAAUUGGGCUUAAUACACAAUCCAAUACCAAUGGAUCAAAAGUGGGUCCAAAUAAGACCAAGGCCCAAAUACUCAUAAUUAGGGUUUUCCACCCAAACAUAGCCCAAUCGGCCCAAAACUAAUCUCUAAGCCCAUUAGGGUUCGCUAGUGGGGCACCACCCACUACCACCUCAGGUAGUGGUGGUCAAUGGCGGCACGCGGCGGCGGCCACCAGCUUACGGUGGUGGUUAUGGUUCUUUUCAUUACAUUUUCUACUAAUUACAAUUACAAGUUUUUAAUCCACAAAUAAACACACACAUACUAACUACUCUAACACACACACACACAACCACUCUAGUGGUGGCCGGCGGCGGUACAAGGCGGCAGCCACCAGCUCACGGUGGUGGUGGUGGCUUUUCACAUGAACUCCAGCUAGACAAAACACACACACACUUCAGAUUGCAUACAACACUCUAGCCACCCACCUGGUGGCUUAAGGGGACAACAACGAUGGUUUUUGGGAUGGCAGCCACCACCUCACGGUGGUGGUGGUGGUUUCUGUUAAUUCCUAGACAAGCAGCAACACACCCACGAGCAUACAACACUCGAGCCGAUAACACUUCAUUUUCAAUGGAACUACAGCAAUGUCAUCGGAUGGUGGUGGUGGCAGAUCGCAGUUGACGGCGGAACAGGAAGGAAGACGAAGAGGAUGGCAAUCCCAAGUCACGACGGCAGCAGCAACGGCAGACGGCGGGACGNNNNNNNNNNNNNNNNNNNNNNNNNNNNNNNNNNNNNNNNNNNNNNNNNNNNNNNNNNNNNNNNNNNNNNNNNNCGGUUGAGGGGCUUCUAUGGUGAUAGCGACGAUCGGAGGUGAAGGAGGAGGGUGGGGAAAUGGCGAUCGAUGCUUAGGGGGUUGGCGGUUGCAACACAUGCCUUAGGGUUAGGGUUUCACAAGCUAUAUACCCCGACCAAAUAAAAACUUUCCCAUAAUUACAGUUCUGGUCCCUCCCCAUGGGAUCUUUUCAAUUUAAACCCAAUAUUUAUCCUUUUGCACCUUAUUCCAUAAUUUUCUUUCAUCAUAAGUCCUAAUAAUUACCGAACAUAUCCCCGCUUCUAAAAUUCUUCUCAAAUCAACUCUGUAGUUUACUAAACAACCCUCCACUAUCAAAAUUCUUCACAAAUUAAUCCGGGAAUUAAAUUAAUUAAUUUAUUUAAAUAAACGAGGUGUUACAACUCUCCCCCACUUAAAUUAGAUUUUGUCCUCGAAAUCAUUCCUUACCAUUCCUUUCACUUCAAACCACUCUAGUAACAUGGUCACCAUCUUGGGCACACCCUAUCCUUUUUAGGGUAACCGUAACCAACCCUCGUAGGGUUCUAAAAUCCACAGAUAAAUGAAUUCCUCGCAACAAGAUCACAUUUACUCCGUCCGAAAUCUGCUGUCUCGAGAUGGUCUGAAUCCCUGACAGACCGCCCAUACCGAAACACUAUCUCCGAAACCAGUCCACUUGUCUCUUAGCUGCUUACUCAACUUUCGAUAACUCAAGGCUCCCACUAGAGAACAUACUCACAAAUCCUAAUUAUCCCUGAAGAUCACUUAUGCUUGGCUGAGGCUUAGAUAAUCCCGACAUGCUAUUACUGCUUGAGACACUGAGACGGUCUGAAACACCGAUCUGCAUGAAACACUGAACUGCCUGAAACAGUAUGUUGCUACAUGGCUGCUUUCCAAAAUAUAUCGAGACCUUCCUGGUCUCAAUUGAUUCGUCAGUCAUCUGAAAUACCGGGUUCCAGCUCGGUUGUGGAGCCAAAGGGCUCCCUACUUAGUCGCUUCACACAACUCCUGAACGAAAUCCUUCUCUGGAACCAACUGCUACUAGUUAUCUUGUCACUGUGUCCCUAGUGGCCUUCUGAUCUAACUGAUCGAUUCCAUACGUCGGAUCCUGACGUCACCAAACCCAAGGCUAAAAGUGAUUGCUACAUGAUCAUUGGUAGCCUUAUGCCAUGCAGGACCUUAAUCAAUUCACUGCUUCCUUGCUCUCUUAGCUGUAAUGGCGCUUCUAUAGUCUUAUCACUGGAUCAACCAGGGCUAAUUCGUAUGGUUAAUUUCGAAAUCCAAUCCGUGGAUUUCCGUAUCCUCACUACUACACCCGAACUGGUGGGUGCUACUAUUCUUUUCGCGUCCUAACAACGCAUUCACACUAUCUACCAACCUAUUGAAUGCUACGGCUACACCUGUAGACUUACAACACUCUACCACUAUAUGGCUGCUAGUGAAUGCUACGGCUACUCCCGUAGACUUAUAACACUCGAAUACUAUCUGGCUGCUAGUGAAUGCUACGGCUACACCCGCAGACUUACAACACUCUAACACUAUCUGGUUGCUAGUGAAUGCUACAGCUACACCCAUAAAAUUACAACACUCUCCAUAUUGGAUUGACACGCGCUUGACCCGCACUCAACUGAACUCAUGUCCUAACUGGAAUCCCCAACAUGGUUCCCUAAGGCUUGCUGGAAAACAUUACGGGAACGCAGUCUCCUUAUUAGCAAGUUUUUCCGAACUUCUAUCUCACACUAUCCUCAAACCAUACAGCCGCUUGGGCUGUCUUCCUUCCUGAGAAGGAUGUGAAACUCAUCCCAAUUUCAAAACUGCUCCUACUUCUGAAUCCUUGGAUGAUUCUCCCCCACUUUGAUUCAACUAAUGUCUUAGAGCACACAAUACUAGAAGGAUUCUCAAUCCUUCUUACCAUUCUAUGCCCAAUCUGCUGAAAACCACGCUUACGAUUGAUAGUGUUUCAAUACUAGCCAGUCCAAAAGAUCACACCACGUCCAAGAACCUGAAUAAAUUUCCGGUAAUAACCUGCUAGACCUAGGAAGCUUCGAAUCUCAAUUAGAGACCUCAAAAUCUCCCACUGCAUCACGACCUCUAUCUUUUCCGGAUCGACUAGAAUACCCUUCUGAUUGACAAGGUGCCCAAGAAAUUGCACCUCGCGCAACUAGAACUCACAUUUGAAGUACCUUGCAAAAAGUCUCUCCCUCCUCAAAGUCUCUAGCACCUCCCUCAGGUGUUUCUCGUGCUGCUCCCCAGUCUUGGAAUAAACCAAGAUGACGUUGUACUCUCCCAAUCUCGCGAUUUGGGAUAUGAUCUUUCACUAUCCGCUAAUAGUUCUCAGUAUGAAAUUGGCAUAUGACAUUUCUUGGAAGUAUAAUUCAAACACAAACAGAGGAUAAACCAGAGUCACACUUACUCAAACCCCUAGAAUGAAAGACUCUAUCGUGUAUUUUCCCGCAUGUGCUGUACUAAAUCUAACCCUGUUGGUCUCUCAAAAGCUGAUCCAAAAUUUAGGGUCUCCUCCCAAGACCCUUCAAUAUAAGCAACUGAUCUAGUCCUCUCUUACUGAUGUGCUCCAAGCCCAUAUCCCGUUCUCAAGCUCUAGAAGUCAUAUCAUUCAGGGUCUUGCACCCCGAGAUACUCACGAUCUCCUUGCUACCAUUCUACAAUACAUUCUGAUAACUUACCUUCUUUAUUUCCUCAUCUGCUACAUACUAUGGUACCAUAUAAGCUCUUUCCCGAGGCUUGGCAGUGAUCUCUGCCAUAGUCUCAGUCGUCUGGUGGAGAUCUAACAACUCCUGCACCAACUGUUGCGCCUCAAUCGCCUGGGCACACUCUGCCCAGAAUCUGGUCUGAAAGUCAUCCAAUGACAUAGCAUUAACUGCUUCAUCACUCCACUCACUACCAACCUUUUCCUAUCAAUAUCAUACUCUGUCCCUCAGGAGAUAGGAAGUAAGUUGGAUCUUGUCUCCUUUCGGAUAUUUGGGAUUUUGUAUCGACUCAACCGUAUUAGAACCUAACUGAGUUGUAGUCUAGUGCCAAGAGGAGGGAUAUCAAGUUGGAGACCAAGAGGAAGGAUGAGAGGGCGACGUUAGGGGCGGGAUUAUUCAGUGGCCAAGCGGUUCAAGAUUGCCGACUCGAGUCUAGGGUCAGUUUAUAGGAAGAUUUUUUUAGUGUGGCAAGUGCGAAAGGUUUCACAAUGGAAGGUGUCGAUCUUUUGUGUGUUGUAGUUUCCGCAAGGAAGGGCAUUUUGCUACGGAUUGCAUGCAGAGUAUGCGGGUUCAUCUCCAUUGCGGUCAGGAGGGCCACAUCAGAGCUUGUUGUCCCUUUCUCAUUUUCGGCGAGGUGCAAAACCCUACACCCCUAGCUUGAAAGUUACCCGACGGACAUCAUGGGACGGUUGGAGUUUUGGAGACUGAGGGUUGAGUUACUAGUUCUUCGAUUUAGUUGGUUAUAGCAGUGUUGCUAUCAUCUAUAUUUUCUGUUAGAGUUCUAGAAGUUCAGUUGUAAUCUUGAAUGAUCAGUGUAAUGGAAUUGUUUUAAUUAGUUCUGGUUUUAGUUUGAUCUCCUAUUUGCAAAUGGAUUGAUUAUUGUCCUUGAAUUUUUUUUUUCAUGUGUAUUGGAAUUCAUGAAUGUUUUUUGUAGGUUCAGAUUCUCUUGUGUAUCUGGUUGACAGGGAUGGGGAUCAAGUAGUAGAGUUCAAGUGCGUCUGGGACAUGAAGGAUUGUGAAGUUGUCAAAGUCCAUCAUAUUCCAAGUGAGGGAGAGUGGAGACCACAUAGAAGGAAGACCUUAAUUUAAUAAAUAUUUGAAUUAUUUGAUUUAAACCACCAUGUCCCCUGUGUUCGACACCCUUUCUUACCACAACUAUAUUACUUUGUGACUAGGUACACUGCCUAUUUGUGUUUAAGACUAGUUGAGAUUAGAUAUGACUACAUAAAUAAAAAAACAAGUGUAUAAAUAAACACAUCAAGUUUUUGGAGCCGUUGUCGAGGAACGGUUUGAAUUUUGUUCAGAUUUUUAUUUUUUGAUUAAAUUUUGUUUAUAUUUUUGUUGUUAUUUUUAUUUUUUUAGUUUCUAUUUAAAUGGAUACGAUUAAUGCUAUUCUUCAGCAUGAGUUGCAGGAACUUGAUGACCUAUUCGACCCAGAAAAAGAUUUGGAGGAGCUGGAGAGGUUGCUAGCUAAAGACUCAAACGAAGAACAAGAACAAGUUGAAAUGCAGGAACCAUUGGACCCCUAUUUUUCCGAUUUGUGUUUUGAAGCACGGGGUGACGAUUCCAACUUUGGAGAAAAUUCUGUUGUACAAUUCAUUUUUUAUUGGUGUCCAACCGGUUCCAACCCUUGUCAACAUUCUUGGAUUUUAUAGAUUCAAGCUCGACCGACCGAUUUUCGAAAUAAAAAGUCAAAUCUUACAAAUCAGUCCAAAAAGAAUAUUAAAUGUGACGAAUGGAUUUGUCAAUGAGUAGAUUAAUAGUUUAUUAAGUUGGGAGUCCAGCUCAAGUCUUGCACAAAAAGAAGCACUUAUCGGGAGGCAAUCCAACUUUUAAAUUAGUUUGCAUUUUCUUUUCUUUUCUUUUUUCUUUUUUCUAUAUUUUUAAUUUUUAAUUUUUAGUUUUAUUUUGAACAAAACUGCUUUUGAUGAUUCUUAUUUUUGUUGCAAGAGAAUUUUUAGCUAAGAAAUUGUUAAUGGAAAAAAACGUGUGGGGUGGAGUAUUACGAGAAGAAGGCAUGAAGCAUGACACACAAAUAAGAGUGGGGUAUACAUCCGACAUGGAGAAAACCAAGGUAUUGAGCUUUCAAUGCUACAUAUGGGAAGAAACUGAUAUGAGAGACUGGUCGAGAAAUUAGCUACUUCCAGAUUAGUCGAUUCAUUCAAUGAUGAAGAAUUAAGAGUUUUCACGAAGACGGGACACGGGCCUAGCUACCUCGAGAGGCGAAUUUUUAUUACAUCGCGACUACUUUCCUGACAUUUGAAGACCGCGACGUGCCAACGCCUCGAAAACCUAAGGGUUCCUCCGCACAAUUCGCAAUACGCGUUGUAACAAUGAUUUUCUCACAAGUUUUACUUUUUACAAAGACAACACCGUGGCCAACAACUUGCCAAGAUGUGGAAACGCCCCAGUCAAAUUUUUGAGCUAUGAAGAUUAGUUGUCCGCCUACCUUUAUGCCAAGAGUCCACCAAUUUCAUCAAGAAUGUUCAGUUCCAAGAGUGUUCCAGCAGACAAAUUCAAGCUAGUAUCAAUAAGCAACCCACAACAUUCAUCUGAUCUCGCGACUACAUAACCAAAGAGAGUUUGUUCCUUAUCUCCCUCUUUCAUUUUAUAUCUUUUAAUUGUUUUUAUACAAUGAGGGCAUUGUAUAAUUUAAGUGUGGGGUAGGGGAUCAAAUAAAAGGAAAAGAGCAUGCUAGAAAAAAUAUAUAUGCUAGAUUUUUUUAACAAAAUGAAAAUAUACAUAGACUUGAAAAAAUGGUUUAAAAUAGGAAAAUCAAGAAAAAUUUUAAAUUGUGCUUUUGUUAGAACUAAGUUUGCUAGUAUCGUGUGGGAUAAUUUGAUGCAAAUUUAAAGGUUUAGUUAAGCUAAUAGUUAUAGUAUAUUUGUGGCUUCCUAGUUCUAGUGAAAUCAUGAGUUAAAAACACGAACUUGUGUAGUUUGAGGGACAUAAUAUGUUUUGCAUCAUGUACUUGAAAUGUAUCCACUAAAAUUAUGUAGCCAUUGCACUUUAGACUAAUACCUUUAACCAAUAAGGGUUGAGGUUUAGGUCCCUUGCUUAAGCAUAUGUUUUUCUUUUAGGUUUUAUUUUGAGAGAAUAAAAGUGAGAUAUGAAGAAAAUGAAUAAUGUUGUGAUAAAAAAAAGAAAAAAGAAGUUGUCAAAAGUUGUUGAAUAAAUACAAGUUUGCAAAGUAUAAAGAUCUUGAAGAAGUGAAGAAUAAGGAAAAUUGGAAGGGAUUAUUUGAUUUGUAAUUUUCUUUCUAGAUUAUUUUGUCAUAUGUAUGCUUGGGAACUUAACAAAAAUUACAUUGAGGUUAAGAAAGUUUUAUGAGGAUGUAUUUGAAGGGAUGCAUAAAUGAAUGUUGUUCAAAAUAAGUAGGGAAUGUUUAUGAGGAUUGUGAGUACGUAGGACACGGGAAGUAAUUAGGGUCUAGACAAAAAUAUAUGCAUUGAGGAGAGACAUAAUUUGUGAAUUCAAAUUGGUCUAUUCUAUGUGAUGUUGGUUGGAAAAGUUUUGAUAUAGCAUAAUAACAUUCUAGUUUGCUUGAGGACAAGCAAAAUGUUAUAUUUUUAGAUAUAUGAUACUUAAAGAUAAGUGUGAGGUAUUUUAAAAUGUUCAAUUACAAUUAAAAUGAGAGAUGGGAUGCAAAAAGAGGAGAACGGAGCUGAAAAAGACACAAAAAGGAUGUUGUUGGCAGGACCCCGCAUCAGUGUUUUGACCAUAUAUCAUGACUCGUAACUUCGAUUAAAGUGAUUCAAAAUGAUUUAAAAACUAGACAAAAUUUCGGACGACUUUCAUGUUUGAGAAAAAAUGUGAAAUCCAAACACAACGACAUCGUGAUGACCACCACGACAUGGUAAAUGGAAAUUUUGCGAUCGUUGAGCUGACUUGGAGAAUACAGUAUAUCCAUGAAGACCACAACGUUGUUCCUCUUAACCACAUCAUGGUGGCCAGAAUUUGGCAAGUAUAUAUAUAUUCCAGACAUUAGGCCGUUUCCAGAAGGUGGAGGCCUAAGGGUUGCGAUUAUUCACGAGGAAAAGCCCUCUAGAGGUCGAUUUUGAAGCUAGAGAUUCAAUUGGAGCCAGGAUUUGGAGAUUCAAGUGCUAUUGUAUCGAGAUUUCACUUCAAGUUUUCUUGAUGAUCGUGUCUUUGCAUUAUUUUGGUGAUUUUUUUCUACUUUAGUUUACUGAAUAUGGUGUAAAAACCUUUACUUUCACUAGAUAUUGAUGAACCAUUGUUGAUAUGCUAUGAUUUCGUUAGUAGGAUUAACUCAUUUUGGUUUUUACUUGUGUUCAAUUGAUUGCUUUACCUUUCAUAUUAAUGUUAUGAUUUUUAUUGUUUAUUGCUGAGUAUUAUUAGGAUUAGAUGAUCAUUCUAUCUUGAUGUACUUAAUCAUAUGAAUCUAUGAUCAUUAGGUUUGUAUGACUAUGACUUUGAUCAUAAGCCUAAGGUUAAAUAAUAUUAAUCGGUGGCUUUGAUUGCGUUAUAGAGCAUUAGAUAUUCAUGAUACGCUUAGAUUGAUUGUCAUGAUCAUUAAAAGAUAUUACUAGAUCAUAUCGUUCAUAGUUCGAAUACAUUUAAUUAAUUAUGUGGUCACUAAUUGCAUGAUCAUUGUAUUAGUUGUUCAUUAAUUAUUAGUACUAAGAAAUCCAAUCAAGAUAACUAGUCAUAUUACAAUUCGGUAAUCAAUUCAUUAAUCCAUAUUACCUCUAAUAAAUCAAACAUAAAAACUUUGGGGGAUUCGUAUUCUAGUGGAAGUACUUCUUAUCUACUGUUUCCAUUUAGUUCUUUAAUUUCGUUGAUUAAUUAAUUGUUAAAAUAAGUUUAAUUUAGUUUACACAAAAAACCACCAUUUAAUUUACUAUUAUUAAGUUAAUAAAUAUUUGAAUUAUUUGAUCUAAACCAUCAUGUUCCUUGUGUUCGACACCUCUUCUUAACACAACUAUAUUACUUCACGACUAGGUACGCUGCCUAUUUGUGUUUAAGACUAGUGGAGAUUAGAUAUGACUUUAAAAUAAAAAAACGAGUGUAUUAAUAAACACAUUAGAAAUCACUAAGCUUUGUGCUUACACAGUUGAUUAUGUUUUUUUUUAGGUUUAAUCGGUUAUUGUGGGAAGGUGAAGGCGUGAUUGUACAUACUCAUAAAAAACAUUGAGGAUUCCGCAUUUAUUAUAAUACUGUGAUUUUUCAACAAAUGUAAUUUUGAACAAACGGUUUUAUUAACAUGGAUUUUAUAAUUAUGAUGUUUUAUCUUAAGUAGAAAAAAAAUUUGGUUGUGGAAAUGAGACGUUACAGUAAACACAAAAAAAUUAUUUAGGUAGACAGUGAAUCAACCAUACAAAAUCAUGUGACACUCGAUAUGACAUUAUUCUCACAUUGACAUGUCAGUUAACCACACAUGUUCCAUCAACAAAAUAAUCUCACAAGUGACAAAUCAUAUUAACUUAUAUAUUUGCAAUGACGUACCGGUUAACCACACACACUCUAUCAUCAAAAUAUAAAAAAUAUGUGCGUUGUCAUUGGGAACACAUGACUCACGCUUUGAUAUAUAAGACUUGAAUUUUGUUUUAAUAGUUGGUUAAUAUUUUUAAUCUUGAAACAGAAUCAGACCGAACCCUUUCGAUAACUUCAGUCUCAAAAUACAAAAAGGCGGUGAGGGUUUUAAUUGCAAAGCAUUUUAAAAACGACCUCAUUAGGAAUCAUAGAUACCUCCUUAAACCUUUCUUAGAGUAUUAGAAUGCGUGUGCAUUCUCUUGAUUCAAUGAUAGUGUUUUUAUUAAACAUGUGAAGACACAUGUUAUAUUAUUAUAUAUAUAUAUAUAUAUAUAUUAAUUAAUUAUAACAUAUAUUACAUUUAAACCUUUUAAAUUUAUAUUCUUUUCUUUUUAAUUUAAUUCUCUUAUUAAAUUAAGUUCAAGUAUAUUCAAAUUUUAAUUCAAGUUUAAAUAACAUUCAAAUUUUAAACAAUUAAAUAUUCAGAUUUGAAUUCUUAUUAAAUAAUAUCUCAAAUUAAUCAAAAUUUUGAAUAUUCAGAUUUAAGCAACUAAAAUAAUAUUUUAAACAAAGGGCUUAUUCCCAGAUUUUCGAAAUUUGAUCAAAAUCCCAAAUCUGAAAAUCGGCUCAGCAAGUNNNNNNNNNNNNNNNNNNNNNNNNNNNNNNNNUCAUUUGCGACUAGCAUAUUUUUUUUCUAAUUUUUACAAUUUUUUUGCAGUUAAGUAAAACCUAUUAGGCUCUCAUACCAUUGUUAUGUUUUAUUAGCAUCAAUACAUUAUCUUAAGACAGCGGAACCAAUCAAAAGAUAUACCUAAAUAUACAUGCACAAUAGAUCUAGGUUUUACUAGUUAUAGCAACGAACUUUAAAAUUCAACUAGAAAGAAACAUAUUAACAUCUUGAUUGCUCGAUUGGUAUCUCAUACGUGUCAGUGCAUGCAAUGGAUGAAGGAUCCAAAGUAGAACCUCUCUAAUGUAGUCAGACUCACAAACACCAAAAGAAAAAUGAAUAAACCAUAGUCACAUAAUUCGUGGUACGCUUUGGUAUGGGUACGGGUACGUGGUAUGCAAUUCGCUAGGUCCUUGAAAUUCGGUACGAGGGGGGUAGGCUCAUUUCGGUAUGCUCCGGGACGCUCUGGUACGAUGUACCAAAUAUUGUAGUACCAUGUACCAAAUUCAAAACUUAUUAGAUGAACUUAAAACUUGCAGUCAAACUAACAUAAAAAAUUCAAAAUAAAUUACAUCAAAUCCGACAAACAUCAAAAGUCAAAAUAGAAAACAUAAACUUAAAACUUAAAACUCAAACAUGUAACUUAAUCCACUAUUCCAGACCAUAAGUAGACCACCAUUCAAUUGCUUACAUAGUAGACGCAUUCAUUUGAGCUACCGGUAGAGAAUAAAGACUCUUCUUCAUGUUAAAUGUGGCAAACUGUUCUAGCAACAAUCGUUCUUCGUCUCUAUUUUCAGAAACGUGAUUAAAUGCUUCCAUUACACCUUGUAUAACUUCUUUAUCAAGGUUUUGCGCUUUUCUACGAGUUCCACCCGAUGCUAAUGUUUCAAGAUAGCGGCUAUCGUAAAACCGUGGAGUUAAAGAAAAUCCUAAACAGUGUAACGGGAUGCUCAUUUUCUCCCACCUGUUCAAUACAAUUUGUUGUACUUGAGGGAAAUAUGAUGCAUACAUAUUUUCCUUCAUCAAAUCUUGUAUUUCCCCCAACAUAUUAUCCAUAUUUUCAUAAAUUUCGCCCAUUUUCAGGCCUUCACCAUCGCAAAAUUUGAUCAAACGUUAAAUUGGCUUCGUGAUGCGUAAAAUAUUUUCAACUUUGACCCAAAAGUCAUCAUCUAUUAUAUGAUUAACAACAAGAUGUCCAAUUGUUCUAGUGUGUUCAUCGCCAUGUUUCACCCAAUCUCUCCAUGAAUUACAAGCAAUUGUUGUAGAUAGUGUCUCUCUACAACUGAAUAACCUCUUCAACAAAACAUAAUGAGAAACAAAUCAGGUUUUUGCAACCCUUAAAAGCUCCAACUUUGAAGUCUCCCUAAAAAUGGACAAAGCUUGUACAAGAUUAAGAAAAUAUUUGAUAAUCGUUUUCCCCUUUUUAUACGUGUCCUGUAACCAAAUAAACUCGCUUGCAAAAUCUUUAAAAAUAAGGUUUAAGGUAUGAAUACAACAUGGCGACCAAAAAAUAUGCUUGUACAUCUUUUCCACUUCCUUUCCAGCAACUUUAUAAUUGGCAGCAUUGUCUGUCACAACACUAAGAACAUUACUUGGGCCAACAGAAUCAAUCGCUUGGCUUAGAAAAUGAGCAAUUGCUUUACCUGUUUUCUAUACUCCAGAGAAGUCACAGUGGAAUACAUAAACAUAGAACCACGACUGUUUACAGCAAGAACAUUGAGCAAUGGCUUAUGUUUUAUGUUUGACCACUCAUGAGAUACAAUAGAAAUAGCGUGUGAAUACCAUGUUUCUUUAAAGAGUAUCAAGUAUUUCUCAACAUCUCUAACAUAAUCGUCUAGUAAAACAGUUCUUGCUUUCUCACUUGAUGGCGCUUUAUAACCUUCGGGUGCCUUUCUUAACACGUUUACCAUGUCACGGAAUUGAGGAUUCCGCAAAACAUUAAAUGAAAUCCCAUUAGCAUAUAAGGCCCUCACAAUUUUCAAAUCAACUGCACUUCUCUCCAUUAUUGCAAAAUAUUGCUCUAUUGGUUUUUUAGAGCUCAAACUUGGUUUUUUUUUUUGUUAAAACAUAACUUCUUAGGGAUUUAGAGACUCCAAAUUUUUCAGCCUCUUUCACUUUCUUUUGCAACCUUUCAUAAGUUUCUCAGUCUUUUAGUACAACGGGACACAUCUUAAUUUCAGCUUUUUCCGAGUUGAGCACCAAAAAAAUGAGUAUAAAUACGGGUAUAAGAACUAGUGAAUGUUCCAUGACAAUGUUUACAAACCCAUUUUUUAGAACCACUAGGAUUUUUACUACUACCAGCACUAAUAAAAGUAACUUCAUCAUAUAAAGGCUUAGCAUCUACACUUUGUGUUUUUGGCUAUGUACCUUGACUCCCAUAACUUGUCUGAACUUCUGAUUCUAAUUGUGGUUAAUUAUCGUUGUCUAAUUCAUUGCCAAGAUCAACAUAUUGAUCUUCUUCCUCGUGGUAUUAUUGUGAUUGGGAUUAUUGUCCUCCAUCAUCUUCCUAACAGGUAUUAAUACCUCUUUUCUUUCCAAAAACCAUGAUACUUUAAGUUCUAACUGUAAUCGUUACUGGGUUUCGGAUUCAAGAACAAAACCAAACUAUCAAAUUUGAAAUUUGAUGUUCUGGAUUACAAUUGAAUGAAAAAUACGAUGGAAUGGAAGCCUAAUAUAGGCCUAAUUACAGAAUAUGGAAUCAAUUUUGAAAAGUCGCUCAUGAAUUGUUCGGUUACAGAAAAACACAGUCGACACGAUCAACUCUUCAAAUUCCAACCUGUGUUUCAAAUUGAUUGCAGACGUGUUUUGGAAUCAGGCGGUUCGUGAUUGCUACAGCAUCUGGUACGUUCGAAUUGAAUAUUUGGAACAUCAAUUCAAGUUCAUGAAUCGCGACCCAGAGCGUACCUGGUACACGUUCGUAUCGAGUUUUGGUACGAGCGAUUUGGAUCGCAGAUCGCGCCUACCCCAACGAUUUCUGUGACUAUAGAAUAAACCCUAUGCAAGGGUUUAAUCGAAAAUCCCUAACCCUAGGAGAAAGGUUGGAAAUUUCAUAUAUGGAGAGUGACAAAGAUAGAGGUGGGACGAUUUUAAGAGAGAAAUCAAUCACUCUAAGGUUUACCCCUAAUACUCUAUUUAUAGAUGCAUAUACAAUCCUAAAAUGAUUUAAACUCUUAAGGUUAAUCUUUAUCUAAUUCAAACCUUCCUUAUCCCGCCUUAUCCCUAUCAGAGAGCUAGCCAAAACUAUCAACCUCUAUGCUAUGCUCUGAGAGCUUCUACAAUAUUCAAAUUAAUCUCUAAGAAUUAAUUAAUAUUCACAUUCUUUAAUUAAUUAAAAUAGUUUAACUAAUUCCAAAAUAAUUUCAAAUUAAUUUAUUAUUUCCUAAAUAAAUUAAUAACUUAGUUUUCUCUAUUUGCUUAUUGUUAUUUGGAUCAUGAGUCAAUCCAAAAUAAUCAUAUUCUUAUUAGAAAUAUUAUUAAAAUAGUUAAUAACCUUGAACACUAUCUCCACCAUUUCUUUAACUUGAGUUUGGAUUAUAAUAAAAAAAAAUCUUUCUAAUUUCAAGUUACUAAGAAAAUAUGAUGUAUUUUAUAUAAAAAAAAUUAGGAUGUUACCGUCUUGAGCCCAUUAAACCAGUCGAUAAAGUUUAGGUCAACGAAUAUUAUAAAUGAAUCUCUUAAUACCAAUUGUAACUCUAAGACAGGAACAUGACAUUGUAAAUGCACUAAAUACAUAAAAAUCGUAUAGCACUAAAUAUCAAACAAAAGAACUCUUUAGUUUUGCAUGUAGAUGUAGCUUGAUUACUCUAAUCAAAUGAACUAUGUUAAAUCCUUGUGUUCUUCGNGAGGAUGUAGCUUAAUUACUCUAAUCAUGUCAACCAGGUUAAAUCCUUGUGCUGUUUGUUAUUCUUCAACGUCUUUAUCAUUGUUCUUGUGUUUGUCGAAGUACUUAAUUACCUAACAGGAUGAUGACAAAAAUGGAGCAAUUCAGUAUCACAUCAAAUACAACGAAUUGUGAUAGGAGUCAGGAGAGAUCAAUUCCCAAAGGAGAAAUGAACACCGAGCAGGUUACACAGAAGUGACUCCCUAUCCCUACACAGAACAUGCAAUGUCCUUGAAUUUAUACUAAAUUUAACCAACAGAAAUAUAUCGCAAAAAAAUUCUAUAUUAAAAUGUACCUGUUAGUUUGUUAGUCGCAUUUUAUAGCUGCAUAUAGGUAACGAACAAAGAGCAACGAGGCAUUGAAACCCACACUUCCAAGUAUCAAAAAUAUGCCGAAACAGACACAAGCCAUAUAGCCGAAGAAAAAGGAGGUUUGCAUGAAACCAUUCAUGUCUGAUCUCUCAAAAUAAUAAUAGAUGCAAUAAACAUAUAUAUACAAUCCAGUAGAGCCUCCACACAGAAAUGACCUGUGUCAAUUAAAAAACUCUUAUUAGUUAUUACUUAUAACUUAUUAGCUCAUGCAUAUAGCAAUUCAAGACCAUAAUCAGUAAUCACACCAAGUAAAUAUUUAAACGUACCUCCACCACCAUUGAUGAUCUUCAGCAGCAAGCUGGAAGUAUGUCAGUGCCACAGAAACUAAAGCAGUCAUGAUGAGAAGAAGAAAGAAGACUAUCGACACAAUACUAUAAAGUGUGUAAAUGCGAUGUCCCCAAACACUUGCAAAUAUGUAAUACAACUGAAUAUAGAUAACACUGAAAGGCAAAAUUCCUGCUAAAGCCAUCUGAGGAAGAACACCCCUAUACCAACGCAGCUUAGGAACCUCUCUAGGAAUUUUAGCAGUUUUGCAGGGAGCUUGGAAUUCAGACAUUCUUGUUUUCCCAAUAAUGCCUCCUAAAAGAUGCAAUGGUGAUGCUAUGAAUAUCCACAAGAGAGAUAACAUGACUAUUGCUCUCAAUGGUAAUGCAGUAGUUGAUCCAUAAAAUGUCGCAACAAUGUCUAGGAAAGUAAAAGUAACAAAGAUUGGCCCAAAAUAUAAUACUCCUGUGAGUAUUAGGUUCUUCAUCUGUCAAGGCGAAAAAAAAAGAGAGAGACAAUCAGUUUAAGUGAAUAAAAAUUCCUCAAAAUCAUGUGUUAAACUAAGUUUUGAUAUUUUCACAUACCCAGUUUGUUCCUUCGAGUUUAAAAUAGAAGGAAACAGAAGUAUAUCCUGAGACCAAAGAUGUUAGUGCAUAUAAAAUGAUAAGUGUUUUCCAGAGUACUCCUCGCAUAUAGGGCUGAAAAACACCUAGGAGGCCUAGAGCAAGAAAUGCUACGAUACUGCAAUUGUGACAAAAGAAUAGUUACAAAAGUAGUAAUUAAAUUUUUUCGAAAAAAAAAAUCAUAUAUUUCACGACAUAUGAAUGUAUUUUUCAAUAUAUGAAUUUGUAUUUCCCAAUAAAAGAUUGUAUUGGGAAAUAUAUUACCAUUUAUAUUCUCAAAAAAUAAUGCUUAAAGGUUUUUUUUAAUGUGGUGGGACCACUCAAAAGGCAAUUUCACAAUUUGCAAUUGGACCUAUUGCGAAAUUAAUAUAUUUUACAUGAGAUGUACCAUUUUAGUAAUUUUUGUUGUUAUAUUUAAAAUAAUAAGAGCACAAGUAGGCAAGCUUCAUGCUUGAGAUGCUUAAUAAAGUUUCAUAUUCUUUGAAGAUACUCACACUACAAGCAACUGGGUUCCAGCACCAAGAGCCGCAGCAAAUAAAGACUUGUGCUGUGGGAAUCUAAAUACAUCACCAUGAACAUUCUUCCAUCCUAUCUCUUCUUGCUUAUUAUAACUCAAUAUAUCCUCUUCCACAUCACCUAAGUUCCUUUCGUUUUUCAUGCAAUGGGAAAACAACAAACGCAACAAAAGAGUUAUUCUAUUUGACAAACAUAACAAACACAAUAACUUGAAUACGCAAACUUAUUUUUUGUGAGUAGAAUCAAUACUUGGAAAUGUCUUUGCGAAGGACUAGCAAGUAAAAUGUGAGUAAGGAAAUGAUGAGAAUGAGGAGUAUGACACUUGAGUAUGUAAUUGAGUGAUGAUGUAUCGACAUGUGGUGAGGUAAAAUGGAAGAACCAAUGUAUUUCUCCAUUCUCCUAUCAAAUGAUUGUUGUGUCAUUUUCCACUGAACUGAGUAUGUGAACUCCACAUCAACUUCCUUGUCUUCAGUAAUGUCUGUAAAUGAAUCUCUAGGCAUUCGGAGAUUGACCUCAAUAACAUGAUCCUUAUUAUAAAAAACUUGGAAAUCAAAAUGUUUGUAAAGGGAAUACUCUGUUUUGAUCCUUCCAUAUCCUUUAUUUCUUAACACUCCAAUAAAAGCCCACAUUGGUAAGUCAUCAUAGUAUAAUUGCAUAUAGUAGUCCUUCGCUAUAGCCCUUUUGAACUUAGAAACAUCUGUUUUACUCAGUGUCUUAUUGCAUAAGACUUCUAAAUCUUUAUCCACAAGGAAUUCAAGCUUAUAUGGAGUUGAAACAAGACGAUCUCCAUUCAACAUCUCUCCUAAAUUAAGCUUCUUCUCUUU
Molecule: long non-coding RNA, 29331 nt
Filed under: Lactuca sativa (garden lettuce)
Lineage: Eukaryota; Viridiplantae; Streptophyta; Magnoliopsida; Asterales; Asteraceae
Description: long non-coding RNA (LSAT_LNC007985)
Source: RNAcentral